GCCCUCGUGAUGUAACGGAAGCCUCCCGCUCUGAUACGGCGGGCGCGUCGGUUCGACUCCGACCGAGGGAA
RNAcentral lists this transfer RNA (71 nucleotides) under Limnoglobus roseus. It matches the Rfam family "tRNA". Rfam says of the family: Transfer RNA (tRNA) molecules are approximately 80 nucleotides in length. Their secondary structure includes four short double-helical elements and three loops (D, anti-codon, and T loops). Further hydrogen bonds mediate the characteristic L-shaped molecular structure. tRNAs have two regions of fundamental functional importance: the anti-codon, which is responsible for specific mRNA codon recognition, and the 3' end, to which the tRNAs corresponding amino acid is attached (by aminoacyl-tRNA synthetases). tRNAs cope with the degeneracy of the genetic code in two manners: having more than one tRNA (with a specific anti-codon) for a particular amino acid; and 'wobble' base-pairing, i.e. permitting non-standard base-pairing at the 3rd anti-codon position. Lineage: Bacteria; Pseudomonadati; Planctomycetota; Planctomycetia; Gemmatales; Gemmataceae. The record is from Rfam by way of RNAcentral.